GCNNNGCAUUACGGGUACGGGGAUUAGGGUUCGAUUCCGGAGAGGGAGCCUGAGAAACGGCUACCACAUCCAAGGAAGGCAGCAGGCGCGCAAAUUACCCAAUCCCGAUACGGGGAGGUAGUGACAAUAAAUAACAAUACAGGGCUCUUAUGGGUCUUGUAAUUGGAAUGAGUUUAUUUAAAUCCCUUAACGAGGAACAAUUGGAGGGCAAGUCUGGUGCCAGCAGCCGCGGUAAUUCCAGCUCCAAUAGCGUAUAUUAAAGUUGUUGCAGUUAAAAAGCUCGUAGUUGAAUUUCGGGGUUCUACCGUUGGUCGGGCAAUAGUCUGUACUGGYGUGUAGAAUUUCUACCUUCUGGGGAACCAUCAUGUUAUUUAUUUAGCGUGGUGGGAAACCAGGACCUUUACCUUGAAAAAAUUAGAGUGUUCAAAGCAGGCUUACGUCUGAAUACAUUAGCAUGGAAUAAUAAAAUAGGACGGUGGUCCUGUUUUGUUGGUUUCUGAAUCACCGUAAUGAUUAAUAGGGAUAGUUGGGGGCAUUAGUAUUCAAUUGUCAGAGGUGAAAUUCUUGGAUUUAUUGAAGACUAACUUCUGCGAAAGCAUUUGCCAAGGAUGUUUUCAUUAAUCAAGAACGAAAGUUAGGGGAUCGAAGACGAUCAGAUACCGUCGUAGUCUUAACCAUAAACUAUGCCGACUAGGGAUCGGACGAUGUUAAUUUUUCUUGACUCGUUCGGCGCCUUACGGGAAACCAAANGUUUUNGGUUUC
RNAcentral lists this ribosomal RNA (762 nucleotides) under Gigaspora decipiens. Its description in RNAcentral is "SSU rRNA". It matches the Rfam family "Eukaryotic small subunit ribosomal RNA", at positions 347 to 1125 of the family's 1831-position model. Lineage: Eukaryota; Fungi; Glomeromycota; Glomeromycetes; Diversisporales; Gigasporaceae. The record is from RNAcentral.